UGGUGGAACCAUGGAGUUUUCCUGAUGAAGCCUUGCCAACAUGCCUCAGCUGAAACUGGAAGGGUUCACUGGACAAUCCCAGUUCAUUCCCAUGUCCAUUUUCUCUGGGUUACACCCACCAGAAGACAGUGACAACUGGUCACAAUUAGAGAGGAAAAGUGCCAUUGUAUUUGACACUAGGCUGGACUCCGGAGAUGUUCAGUCGCUGGGUGUGUCUCAAACUGCUGGGUGACCUUGGCAGCUGAGUGCCUUCCACACAGAAUAAAUGCCAUUAAAGAAGUCCCAUCGAAGAGACUUCAUAGUAUACCUGGCACUUUCCCUGCAUCAGGAUUUAACAGCAACUGCCAUGGAAAAUGACCAGAAAUCUACAAUCUGAGAAAACCCAUCCAUCAUCUUCAGGCAGUCUUCCAAUCUGUUAACUUUAGCUGCUACUAGUAAGUGUCUCAGUCCAGGAAAAGCAAUUAUUACAAUGUUUUACAGAAUAGCUUCCAGAUAGCAUAUGAUGUAAACUGCUCUUGGGCAACAUUUCUUCUAAGGAAGCAGCCUUUUUUUCUUCAGUAAGCAACUUUACCAAUGCAAGUGUGAUAAAAACAGAGGUAAAGAGGAAGAGCUGUUGGAAGUGGGGAUUGACUGUAGCUACUGUGCCCAUUCACACCUUCCAAAGACUUGGAUCAUGAUACUUUGUAAAGCCCUUGUUAUGGGUGUUAUCAGUGUGCAGACUCUUUCAGUAAGGAUAAGAGAUAUUACAUGUGAUCGAGAUGUAGUCACUAACGUGUUACAUAGGGCCAAAUCAGGCAUCUUGUUUUGACUGCAGGUUCACAUCCAGAAUGUGGUAUUAUUUCACCUACUACCAUCUAACAUAUAUAACCAGCAAUGCAAAACAGGCCCAAACUCAGCGCAUUAGCAUCUCUGUUUUGAUUCCUGCUAUUUUGAGGUCCUUAAUAAAAAUGCAGCAUCACUGCAGGCAGUUGCCGGCAGUCAGUACCCUGAUCAGUACGCUUGCACAUGGCCUGAUCAGUAUGCUUGCACAUGGCAGUCACUUGCAUUUUUUUUCAGUGCUAUGUCUCCACAGCACAUGCUCCACAUGCUGCAGUGGCAAGAGGUUGCUGUGAAGGUGAUCACUGGCCUGGAGAGAUGGAGGCCUCUCUCCAUGUCAUUAGAUGACUUACGUGGAUAUCCUGCAGAUGUAGACAGGCCAGUGGAUGAACUCAACUGAGCUCUGAAUACAGAGAGAUUCCUCUUAGAGAAGGGGAAACCAAAGGAGGAGAGGGUCAAAGGAGCAGUGUAUGGUUUAUCUAGGACUACCUUCACUGUAGCCUGAUUUCUGUAACGAGAGACCUCUGGUGAGGGAUUGAGGAGGAAAACUUGACAACUCCUCUAUGACAACAGACAUACAUUGGCAAAACUCUACUUUAGGAUCUUAGAGCCAAUGCGUUUAGGAUCAGUCAGAUAAUCAUAUGGUGGCAUCUAACCAAGCCUCUCUGAUUAGUUUUGGGGGCUGGUUAAUAUCACACCUCUUUAUUGAAAGUUCCUCACUACUAGUUCCUGGCUGUUCUUCACACGUCCUUGUAAGCAGAUGUUAGCUCAUGAGUAACUUUGGAAUCAAUUCAGUCUGCCCCUGCUAGACUGCUUGAUCUUGAUGGCUGUUGUUAGCAGAUGACAUUCAGCAUGCUUCCAGACACCCAUCUACCUCAUCAGACUGAAUGACUUGUCUUUUCAGUUCCACUUCUGUAGCAUAUUAUAGAUCGUCUUGGCGUGUUUGGAUUUCUGAUUGCAGACUUGCUUUCUGAUCCUUGAAGAAUUUGACACUACGAGGAAAGCAUGGUCUGGAUUCCUUCUGAAAAUUUCAGAUUAAUGUGCUAUAUCUUUCUGCAUAAUAUGUAAUCCAAACCUAGAUACCCAUUUCCUUCACAAGCAAAAAUUUGGUCUUGAAUACCAUUGUUAAGUUGUUUGCUAGGAGGAAUGAGAUCAACAGGACCAUGGUACACAUUUAGUCUUUGUUUAGCAAUUGGUUCUUUUCAUGACUAAAUUAAGGAGACACAUAUACUGGAAGGUUUGAAACCAUAAUUUGCCUGGCUUAAAAGAUACUGUUCAGUAUAUCAAGGUGUUUGCUUUAAAUCAUCAAAGCUGUUUUGGCCAGCAGAUGUGCAUACAUACAAACAUAUAUAUAUAUAUAUAUAUAUUCUUAAAAUAUGUGUAGGCAUUCAGCCUAAUACAUAUAUAUAUGUGCAUUCCUUAUAUAUAUUAUUUGUAUAUAAUUUGUAUGUUAAUUCCUCCAUAUAAAUAAUGUAAAAUUCCUUCUUAUAUGUACAUCCACAUACAUAUACACAUGUUCCUCCUCAAUAUGUCCUCUUGCCUUUAAUUGUUGAAGACUGAUGGAUGCCAGCAAACAAUCUGAUUUUGAUGUCUAAUUAGAGGGUAAGAUACAUUGCUGAAAGGUCAACAGUUGGUGUUUGGGAGUUCUUGGCCCCCUGGACACCCUGCAAAUAAGUGUCUGGAAAGGCUGAUCUUACCAUAAGGCUUGUGAGCUGAUCAGAGUUUGGCUAUAGGAAGGUCUAUACUCUUCAUGCAAGUCAUAGGCAGUUUAAAAUAUUCAUCAACUUAGUUACGUGCCCUUUGUUCUCCUGGGCAGUAUUUCUACUGUAGUGAGAUAGAAGGUGUUAAAAUUAUCUGUUUUCCCUGGGAUAGGGGGAAUAAGAGCUUCUGCAUUACCACAUUUUUUUUGCUCCAUGUAACUGUUUUUGGGCAUUAGUGAUGUAACGUAUUAAAACAUGAUCAUGAAAUUGUAAGCAGGAAACAUUUAAUGGUAUCUGCUUGAUUCCUGACAGCAUUAUGCUAUCUGUAAUGAUGAGAAAGAUGAAAAUAAGUGUGACAUUUCUUACUUGGCAAAUGCUCUGUAGCACUAACAGAAAUUCCAACAGUCAGAUGAUUUCAAGGCUAGAAAUUAUUAUAGGCCUAAUGAACUGAAAAAGUGCUACUUCUUGCUGUCUAUUAUAACAGAAGAUUCUUUUAAUUAAAUAUGUAAAUUAAGAUGUGUAUGAGCAACAAAUAUGAAAUUUAAAGCCAUGCUUGCCAUUAGUUUGAAACCAGAAAUCAUCACUGCUUUCCUAGAGACAUCCAUUUUCAGUGAGAGUGACUCUGGUCUUUCUGGAAUUACUCUGUUAUGUUAUUUUACAGCAAUGUGCUCAGCCUGUAAAGUACAAACCAUUAAUGAUUUUUUUUUUUUUCAUCAAGAUACUAAUUUUCUUACUUAAGACAAUCUUGUUCUCUAAAUCCUUUCAGAUCUAUCACCCAGUUUAUGUGCACAACAGGUCUUUUGACAGUUCUGUAUCUCUUCCUAAAGCAAAAAGUCAGAGGAAAGAAAAAGGAGUUCUUGGGUCUAAGUAUUUGAAAAUUACUGUGGUCUAGAUGCCACUAAAGCACAAGUGUAACAGUACAUAUUUAAAAAAAAAAAAUCACUAGAUGUAGAAUACAACAUUCCAGACACACCAGAUUGUAUUCAAAUUCAUAUCAGCCUUUUAUCUGGGUAAUUUACCCUACUGAGAGGUAUGGGAAAAUGGGUGGCAUUUUUUCAGUUUUGUACUUUGCAACUUAUUGAGGUCCCCAAAUUCAUAUUUCCUUACAUUCUUCCUUUGUACUCACUGUGUUUGUCAGAGGAGAUGUGUGAAUGAAAAUAGAUCUGAAUUCUGCAUUGCUUUUGGGGCUUGGUUCAAAGAGGAUUGGCAGCCAUAGAAGGAUCUCAUCAAAGGCUUCCAUGACUUCUAGUCACAUCAUUAAUGAAGACCUUUUGAACAUUUUGGUCUUCUGCCUUCCAUAUGAAGAAAAAUAAUGAUCCUGCCUUUGAAAAAGGUUUUGAAAUUGCCAGGGAUGUAGAUAUUAAUCACUGUUAUACCUCCUUACAAGCAGUAAGAAAUGAAAUACCGUUUAACGGAAAGAAUGUGUUUUAUUAUAUUUACAACAAUGGAACUGGAAUAUAACCUUUUUAUUUAAAAAUCAACCUGCAGAUUAAGUUUUGAUUGCAGUGUUUUGUACUGAAAAUAAGAAUAAUGGAAGCAAUUAAGUAUUCAUAGUCCUGCUCUCACACAAACACCUUCCAUGGUGAGUCUGUUUAUGCAACUGAGUGUGCCAUACAAUUGUUUUUAUUACCUUCUUAUAAAACAGCCUGUAUAAAACACUUUUUUUUGAUUGUUUCUUUGUGUAUUGUUGAGCGUGUUUGCAUUCUAAAGGGCUUUGCCUCAUUAAAGCAAUUACCAUAAA
Long non-coding RNA from Harpia harpyja (harpy eagle), 4257 nucleotides. RefSeq lists it as uncharacterized. The record is from RefSeq and is a predicted model, not a curated record. The transcript has 3 exons. NCBI's taxonomy places the organism in Eukaryota, Metazoa, Chordata, Aves, Accipitriformes, Accipitridae.